This 72-nucleotide transfer RNA is filed under the name Chroococcidiopsis sp. SAG 2025. RNAcentral describes it as "tRNA-Gly". It matches the Rfam family "tRNA". Rfam says of the family: Transfer RNA (tRNA) molecules are approximately 80 nucleotides in length. Their secondary structure includes four short double-helical elements and three loops (D, anti-codon, and T loops). Further hydrogen bonds mediate the characteristic L-shaped molecular structure. tRNAs have two regions of fundamental functional importance: the anti-codon, which is responsible for specific mRNA codon recognition, and the 3' end, to which the tRNAs corresponding amino acid is attached (by aminoacyl-tRNA synthetases). tRNAs cope with the degeneracy of the genetic code in two manners: having more than one tRNA (with a specific anti-codon) for a particular amino acid; and 'wobble' base-pairing, i.e. permitting non-standard base-pairing at the 3rd anti-codon position. RNAcentral also lists the same sequence under 13 other names. The record is from RNAcentral. Lineage: Bacteria; Bacillati; Cyanobacteriota; Cyanophyceae; Chroococcidiopsidales; Chroococcidiopsidaceae.
GCGGGUGUAGUUCAGUGGUAGAACGCUACCUUCCCAAGGUCGAUGUCGUGGGUUCGAGUCCCAUCACCCGCU